Molecule: ribosomal RNA, 526 nt
Filed under: uncultured bacterium
Lineage: Bacteria
Description: bacterial SSU rRNA
Rfam family: Bacterial small subunit ribosomal RNA
Source: RNAcentral
AGAGUUUGAUUAUGGCUCAGGAUGAACGCUGGCGGCGUGGAUAAGGCAUGCAAGUCGAACGGACCUUGCUAUAUGAAGAACCAAAACGAGUAGCAAUACAAAGUGAGGUUUUGAUUAUAGCGCUGGUUAGUGGCAGACGAGGUAGUAAUACAUAGGUAUGUACUCUUAAGUCACGAAUAACGUACCGAAAGGUCCGCUAAUACGUGAUGGUCCCUCCGGGGUAAAGAUUUAUCGCUUAAGAAACAGCCUAUGAAGUAUCAGCUAGAUGGUGAGGUAAUGGCUCACCAUGGCUAUGACGCUUAGGGGAGCUGAGAGGCUGACCCCCACCGAUGGGACUGAGACACGGCCCAUACACCUACGGGUGGCUGCAGUCAAGAACCUUCCACAAUGGACGAAAGUCUGAUGGAGCGACGCCGCGUGAUUGAUGAAGCGAUUCGUCGUGUAAAGAUCUUUUAUGAGGGAUGAAGUUUAUUGACAGUACCUCAUGAAUAAGGGGCUCCUAACUCUGUGCCAGCCGCCGCGGUAA